This 481-nucleotide ribosomal RNA is filed under the name uncultured bacterium. Its description in RNAcentral is "partial 16S ribosomal RNA". It matches the Rfam family "Bacterial small subunit ribosomal RNA", at positions 28 to 507 of the family's 1533-position model. The record is from RNAcentral.
GAUGAACGCUGGCGGCGUGCUUAACACAUGCAAGUCGAACGAAGCACUUUAUUUGAUUUCCUUCGGGACUGAUUAUUUUGUGACUGAGUGGCGGACGGGUGAGUAACGCGUGGGUAACCUGCCUUGUACAGGGGGAUAACAGUUGGAAACGGCUGCUAAUACCGCAUAAGCGCACGGCAUCGCAUGAUGCAGUGUGAAAAACUCCGGUGGUAUAAGAUGGACCCGCGUUGGAUUAGCUAGUUGGUGAGGUAACGGCCCACCAAGGCGACGAUCCAUAGCCGAACUGAGAGGGUGACCGGCCACAUUGGGACUGAGACACGGCCCAAACUCCUACGGGAAGCAGCAGUGGGGAAUAUUGCACAAUGGGCGAAAGCCUGAUGCAGCGACGCCGCGUGAGCGAAGAAGUAUUUCGGUAUGUAAAGCUCUAUCAGCAGGGAAGAUAAUGACGGUACCUGACUAAGAAGCACCGGCUAAAUACGUG